AGCGAACAUUGGCGGUAGGCUUAACACAUGCAAGUCGAGCGAGGCGUAAUAGUCGAGCGGCGAACGGGUGCGUAAUACAUGGGAAUCUACCUCGAAGUGGGGGAUAACGUCCAGAAAUGGACGCUAGUACCGCAUAAUCCAUAUUGGGAAAGCGUUGCAGCGCUUUGAGAUGAGCCCAUGGCUGAUUAGCUAGUUGGUGAGGUAAUGGCUCACCAAGGCGACGAUCAGUAGCUGGUCUGAGAGGAUGACCAGCCACACUGGAACUGAGACACGGUCCAGACUCCUACGGGAGGCAGCAGUGGGGAAUCUUGCGAAAUGGGGGCAACCCUGACGCAGCCAUACCGCGUGAGUGAUGAAGGUCUUCGGAUUGUAAAGCUCUUUCGGCGGGGACGACGAUGACGGUACCCGCAAAAGAGGUCACGGCUAACUUCGUGCCAGCCGCCGCCGUAA
This 450-nucleotide ribosomal RNA is filed under the name uncultured bacterium. RNAcentral describes it as "partial 16S ribosomal RNA". It matches the Rfam family "Bacterial small subunit ribosomal RNA", at positions 29 to 523 of the family's 1533-position model. The record is from RNAcentral.